AGAUAAGCGCUAAAAUUAUUCAUGUGAACUUUUGAUACCUUUUCUGAAAUUCUCCAGUCAUUAAAUCUUUUACAAAAUUCAUUGAUUACAAAAAAAAAGAAGAUGUGGUAUGAUUGCCAUGUUAAGACAACUCUCCACAAGAGACCCGACACAGAAAUUAACAACUAUAGGUCAACGUACGGCCUUCAACAACUAGCAAAUCCUAUACCGCGUACACAGCUUUAAAAGGCCCCGAAAUGACGAUGUAAAACAAUUCAAACGAGAAAACUAGCGGCCUUAUUUAUGUACAAAAAAAUGAACGAAAAACAAAUAUGUAACACAUAAACAAACGAUAACCACUGAAUUACAGGCUCCUUACUUAAAUGUUCAUAACAUACUAAAGGUAUGUUCAUAUUAAAAUUGACAGAAAACUAAAAAUUGGGAACUUUGGAAAUAAAGGAGGAGGGAUAAAAAAAAAACAUUUUCCUGUCCCCAAUAACCUAUGACUUAUGAUACUUUUGCUGAAAUUCUCCAGUCAUUCAAUAUUUUACAAAAUUCUUCCAACAACACUUUACAUACUUUAAACUACACUCUGAAUGCCCGCGAUUUCGCGGGCGUGUUCUAGUCUUAAUUAU
RNAcentral lists this long non-coding RNA (614 nucleotides) under Mytilus galloprovincialis (Mediterranean mussel). The record is from RNAcentral. Lineage: Eukaryota; Metazoa; Mollusca; Bivalvia; Mytilida; Mytilidae.